CGAAGUAAACAAGAAAUGAUUUUGAAUGUUUUGAUGAAUCAUAAGUGUAGUCUGUACUUGAGGAUUUUCUCUUUCUGAUUUGUAUGCUGUCUGUUGCCUUUUUUUCCAAGGCUGGGUUACGUGGGCAUGUAAACAAAGUCGAGAAUCUGUUUAAUAUCAAAUGUGCUCUGCUUUCCCGUUUUACUGCCUCAGUGCUGCAGGUAAAUAAACAGCAGUAGCUUAAUUUUUUUUAGUUUGAUUACUGUUGCAGCCAGCGAGGCAUGAACGUGCAAAACUGUGAAGAUCCUUUCAGAUGGACAAUGGUAUAACAGCAUGGCAUUAUUGAAUAGAAGUGUGUGAGAGCAUGUGUGUUUCAGUUUCCUGCUCGCAUCCAUCUGUAUUUUCUCAUUUAUUUGCCAGAUCAUAAUCCAGAUCCUUCAUCAUUAUUCCUUACGAUAAUGAAGACAUCUGUCUGCUUUGUGUGGAGCAGAGUGGCGACAAACAUGCUCGCGUUUCACAUGCCGCCUUCUGCCGCCGCUCCACUGCCAGACAGCAAUAUGGGGUAGCAUUUGGGCACUGAGCCCUGAAGACUUGAAUCCGCCUGGCUCUCUAAUGCCAGCAGUGCCCUCCAGUGCCUCCUUGUGCACAGCCUGCAGGAAAGGUGAACCGCCUGAGUGGGCAAGAUCACCUCAUAAGUGGGCUGUCGCAGCACCACAUGUGGCAUUAACCAUGAUACGCCUGAGCUGAGACGUCCGCUGUGCCCCCCUCCGGCUCCGAGGAUGGAGUGAGAAGAGUAUGCCAGGAUGCUGCAUAGGACAGAUGACAGAGUGUGAGACGGAUCCUGCCCACUGCAGAGAGACAGACAGAGACUUGUGUGUGUGUGGACGUUUUGAGGAGUGGCGUCUCAUUUCACAAGAUGCGAAACUGCGUUAAUAAAUAAUGUAAAAUAGACA
This is a long non-coding RNA of Cyprinus carpio (common carp), 932 nucleotides long. The record is from Ensembl. NCBI's taxonomy places the organism in Eukaryota, Metazoa, Chordata, Actinopteri, Cypriniformes, Cyprinidae.